CCUACGGGUGGCAGCAGUGGGGAAUAUUGGACAAUGGGGGCAACCCUGAUCCAGCCAUGCCGCGUGUGUGAAGAAGGCCUUUUGGUUGUAAAGCACUUUAAGCAGGGAGGAGAGGCUAAUGGUUAAUACCCAUUAGAUUAGACGUUACCUGCAGAAUAAGCACCGGCUAACUCUGUGCCAGCAGCCGCGGUAAUACAGAGGGUGCGAGCGUUAAUCGGAAUUACUGGGCGUAAAGCGAGUGUAGGUGGCUCAUUAAGUCACAUGUGAAAUCCCCGGGCUUAACCUGGGAACUGCAUGUGAUACUGGUGGUGCUAGAAUAUGUGAGAGGGAAGUAGAAUUCCAGGUGUAGCGGUGAAAUGCGUAGAGAUCUGGAGGAAUACCGAUGGCGAAGGCAGCUUCCUGGCAUAAUAUUGACACUGAGAUUCGAAAGCGUGGGUAGCAAACAGGAUUAGAUACCCCAGUAGUC
RNAcentral lists this ribosomal RNA (466 nucleotides) under uncultured bacterium. Its description in RNAcentral is "bacterial SSU rRNA". It matches the Rfam family "Bacterial small subunit ribosomal RNA", at positions 338 to 795 of the family's 1533-position model. The record is from RNAcentral.